This 71-nucleotide transfer RNA is filed under the name Ictidomys tridecemlineatus (thirteen-lined ground squirrel). RNAcentral describes it as "Spermophilus tridecemlineatus (thirteen-lined ground squirrel) tRNA". It matches the Rfam family "tRNA". Rfam says of the family: Transfer RNA (tRNA) molecules are approximately 80 nucleotides in length. Their secondary structure includes four short double-helical elements and three loops (D, anti-codon, and T loops). RNAcentral also lists the same sequence under 1 other name. The record is from Rfam by way of RNAcentral. Lineage: Eukaryota; Metazoa; Chordata; Mammalia; Rodentia; Sciuridae.
GCAGUUGUGGCUCGGUGGUAGAGUGCUUGCCUAGCAUUCAUGAGGUGCUGGGUUUGAUUCUCAGCACUGCA